This 1056-nucleotide long non-coding RNA is filed under the name Vombatus ursinus (common wombat). RNAcentral's name for it is "lncRNA (ENSVURG00010009120.1)". The record is from RNAcentral. Lineage: Eukaryota; Metazoa; Chordata; Mammalia; Diprotodontia; Vombatidae.
AUUUAUUGUGUCUAGUUUUUUUUUUUUUUUGCUUGUUUUUCAUUUUAAAUGAUUCAAAAGCUCGAGACUGAAUUCCACUGAUUUUAAAAUAAUUAUUUCAUUAUCGUGACUUAGUGAGGGGAAAUCUACAAACUAAAGCGAUUUCCUGGCUCAGAAGAAGGCACAGAUGAGGGCGGAGAGAAUUAAUAAAACAACAAAUUCAAAACAAAUCGAAAAGCCCGGUUUCUUUGCCGGAUGCAAACAGCUGCCUGAAGCAAGCCAUUGCAAAUUCACUUGUGCUCGAGUAGGGACUACAUUUCUGAGCCUCCUUAAAAGUAGGAGGAGCUCCUCCGGGCUGCUGUCAGUCUCCUUAAGCCUUUCCUUUCAAGACUUGAAUAAAACGGAGAUACCACCGACUUCGGAGGGGUACGGGACCGAGCUGCCGAAGUCUGGUGGGGGAGGGGACAGAGCAGUGGAGGGACUGGAAGACUUCUCCACGGCCGAGAACGCGGGCGAUGGGCAGAAGCUGAGAGGAGCAGCGGCAACUCGGCCGGCGCAACGUUGAAAAAGAAGAGAAAAAAGCCCGGGACUGAGAGAAAGGGCAACUUUCCCGGGCAGCUCAGUUGCACAACGGAUCUGCCGGAGGACAGCAAGAUGAAUUCUCGCUGCAGCGCUUCGGUGCAACCAAGGGAGCCCCACCGAGGCCCCUUUCUCCAGAGCCUCCAAGGACAGCGCUGAGUUCCACCCGCUACGGGAGACUGUUUUGUGGGAGAUUUCGGGGGAUGAGGGUUGAUUAGCAGGUUUUUUUUUUUGCUUUGGGUGUUUUUUUUUUUCGACAGAAUACCUUCGAGCCAAACAUCCUAACCAAUUUUCACCAAGACAGGAAAAUCAAGCCGCACGAAUGGAUUUAUGAAAACCCUCAUGCAAAAAGUUGGCAGGAGUUUAGCAAACUUUUGCACAGACUCCACCUCCGGUGCCUCCUCCUUGUGGCCCUCCUCCCCUCCGUUUCCCCUCUUGUCCGGCUGCUGCUGCUGCUGCUGCUGCCGCUGCUGCAGCGGCGGCGGCGGCGGCUGCCGC